CCUACGGGAGGCAGCAGUGAGGAAUAUUGGUCAAUGGCCGUAAGGCUGAACCAGCCAAGUCGCGUGAAGGAAGAAGGAUCUAUGGUUUGUAAACUUCUUUUAUAGGGGAAUAAAGGUAUCCACGUGUGGAUAUUUGCAUGUACCCUAUGAAUAAGCAUCGGCUAACUCCGUGCCAGCAGCCGCGGUAAUACGGAGGAUGCGAGCGUUAUCCGGAUUUAUUGGGUUUAAAGGGUGCGUAGGUUGUUUUUUAAGUCAGCGGUGAAAGUUUGUGGCUCAACCAUAAAAUUGCCGUUGAAACUGGAAGACUUGAGUGUGUUUGAGGUAGGCGGAAUGCGUGGUGUAGCGGUGAAAUGCAUAGAUAUCACGCAGAACUCCGAUUGCGAAGGCAGCUUACUAAGCCAUAACUGACACUGAAGCACGAAAGCGUGGGGAUCAAA
Molecule: ribosomal RNA, 437 nt
Filed under: uncultured bacterium
Lineage: Bacteria
Description: bacterial SSU rRNA
Rfam family: Bacterial small subunit ribosomal RNA
Source: RNAcentral